CCUAUGCUUCUUGUUGUUCCCUCAGUCCCUACAAUCACAAGCAAAUGCUUUUUCUCGUCAACCUUCUGGGAAAUUCAUCUUCACUCAUCAUGAACGCUCAGAUUCUGACCCUCAACAGGUUCAUUUUAUAUUUGUAUAAUUCAUAAUGACACUUUGUUAUAACGUUUUUAAAAUAUGUAAUUUUAAAUAGUUACAUCGUGCGAGGAUAUAAGGUUGGUUUGGUAGCCGGGUGAGAGACUUAAGAGUUGAGUGAUUUCUCACCUCAAACCGAAUACACACUUAAAAUCGUUAUACAUUCCACUCCUUAUAUCCUCUUGCAUCAAAUUUGUAAAUAUUGUGAGAGGAAAUAAGGUUGGUUUGGUAGUCGGGUGUGAGAGUUAAUGAUUAGACUGAUUUCUCACGUCAAAUCGAAUACACGUUUAAAAGCAAACUACCAAUUACUACUAACAUAUUAACAUUGUUUGUUUAAAAGGUGCACAUUUCGUUGGUAGGGAAAGAUCAUAUGAGAGUAUCAUGGAUAACUGAAGAAAAAGACUCAGAAUCUUUGGUAGAGUAUGGAAUAAAAGGAGGUGAAUAUAGCAAAAAAGCAAUUGGUGAAAACACCUCGUACCGUUAUUUCUUGUACAAAUCAGGCAAGAUCCAUCAUGUGGUAAUUGGGCCUCUAAAUCCAAGCACUACUUACUUCUACAGAUGUGGAGGAUCAGGUCCUGAGUUUUCUUUCAAGACACCUCCACUCAAGUUGCCUAUUGAAUUUGUGAUUGUGGGUGAGUUGUUAAUUUAAUUUUGCAUCACGAUUUUAACCAAAACAAUCUUGUAUAAAUUACUUACUUAUAUGUAGGAGACUUGGGACAAACGGAAUGGACAAAAUCAACCUUAAAACACAUUGAUAGCAAAGACUACGACGUAUUUUUGUUACCCGGAGAUCUAUCUUAUGCCGAUACCCAUCAACCACUUUGGGACUCAUUCGGUCGUUUGGUGGAACCCUACGCAAGCCAGAGGCCGUGGAUGGUUACCGAAGGCAACCAUGAGAUUGAGAGUAUCCCUAUUAUCCAACCACAUGCCUUCAGAUCCUACAAUGCUCGUUGGCUCAUGCCCUACAAUGAGAGUGGCUCUACCUCAAACCUCUACUACUCAUUUGAAGUUGCAAGCACUCAUAUCAUCAUGUUGGGUUCUUACACUGAUUUUGAUGCACAGUCCGAACAAUAUAAAUGGCUUCAAUCUGACCUAGCUAAGAUUGAUAGGAAGAGAACACCUUGGGUGAUUGCCUUGGUACAUGCACCUUGGUAUAAUACUAAUGAGGCACAUGAAGGUGAAGGUGAAGAAAUGAGACAGGCCAUGGAAGAAUUGCUUUAUGAGGCUCGUGUUGACUUGGUUUUUUCAGGGCAUGUCCAUGCAUACGAACGCUUUGUAUGUCAUAUUAAUAUUCAUCAUGCCACGAUUCUUUACCAAAAAAAUUGAGACAUCGGAGAAAAUUUAGAAACACAAAAAUAUGAAAUCUAUCUCUAAUUUCGUCCCUAAAUAUUAGAGGCGCUAAAUUUAUAGAUACAUGUUUCGGUGUUUGUCUCUAAUUUUUGUCACAAUUGCAACUUUUCCUUAUUUUUCUUAUUAUAUUUUUUAAAAUCUUUCUAAUUACUUUGAUCCCUUGCAGACUAGAAUCUAUGACAAUAAGGCUGAUCCAUGUGGUCCGUUGUACGUGACAAUUGGUGAUGGAGGAAACCGUGAAGGACUUGCAUUAAAGUGAGUGACAAAAAGUUUAUUUUACUAUCUAAGCUAAUAUUGUUAACCUACAUAUAUUUUUAAUUUUUUUUCUUCUUAUAUUUGUAUAUUUAUAUUUAUGCACAUGUCCAUGUUAAUUGUUGGAUUGUAUAGGUUUAAGAAGCCUCCAAGUCCACUCUCAUUGUAUAGAGAGGCAAGCUUUGGUCAUGGAAGGUUGAGAAUAGUGAACGAAACACAUGCAAAUUGGUCAUGGCAUCGUAACAAUGAUAGUGAAGCAUUUGUAGCUGAAGAUAUAUGGAUCAAGAGUUUGAGCAACACAAAAGAAUGUUGGGAGAGCAUAGGGCAACAAAUUUCUCAUGAAGAGCUCUAAGAUAUAGAAAAGAUAUAGAAGCUUCAUUUAUUAGUUUGUAGUUGAUUUAUUCAUAUUGAAGAGAUUAAUUUCUUCUACUCACUCACAUUGUAAAACUUUUUCCAACUACAUGUGCAAUAAAGUUUUACAUGUUGAAUGCAAAUUAAAUUUUAUAUUUAAGGUUUUUUCUAGAUUACCUUUGAAGAAUGGUGGGUAAUUUACCCACCAACCAAUGAAAAUGAACAAUUUGUUGGUGGGGUCAAGAUAGUUCAUGGAUACCACUUAAAAAUUUGUUUAUGUGGCUAAUGUGUAUUGGUUGGGAUAAAUUACCCACCAUUCUUCCAUGGGUACCCUAGUUGUCACCAUUAUUUAAUUGUUGGGUAAAAUAAAUCAAACAUCAUUAGAAGAAUUAAAAAAGUUACAAGAAUUAAAAAGUUAGAGUCACGCAACGCAACUCAUAUGGUAAAACAUUGUAAGAACGUUUGAUAUUUAGGGUCACCACUUUUUAUUCUUUAGUGUAUGAGUUUCUUUAAUGAACUCUAUAUUUUAAGCAUAUGUUGCAAUUCCAAAAUAUCUUUCUCUCUUAUGCUUUGCGACACUGUUUAUGAAGAAAAAGAGAGCCUUCUUUUUCGAUUUAUUUAUUCAUUUCGCACAAAGAAACCCUUGUUUUUCCAUUAUCCAAUCAAAAGUGUGGGUUUUUCCUUUAAUCAGAGUGAACCUCACUUUAUCAAAUGAGUAAGUCUUGUAUAUCGUACCAAAUAUACAAUGUUUAAGCACAUAUAUUUAAAUGACUUUUUCUUCCUUAAAAAAAAAAAAAAACUUUUUAUAAUAAUAAAAUAAAAUAGAUAAAAAUUUGAUUUGACAUUUUAGGGAUAAGAGUUUCUUUGUGUAUCCAAACACUAUGUGUUUGAUCUUGUAACCAUACAAGAUUUGUUCAAAUAUAGCAAACAUAGUUAUUUAAUUGUUCUUUAGACACUUAUGACACAUGCACAUCAAACUAUUCGAAAUACCUCCUACAAUAAUUAAUUAUUGUUUGACAAACUUUAUAACUAAUUACACCGAUUUAAAAAAUAAUUUAAUCAACUUAAAAAGUAGUUGAACGGAAAUUAACUACCAUUUUAAAGCAAACGAGAGCUAAUUACCUAUGUGGGUUUAGGUUAAAAAGAAAUGUUGCUUGAAUAAUAGCGCCCGCAUGGAGAGAGUGAUUGCGAUUCGACGAUGCUAAGUUGACACCUAUGUGGGUUUAGGUUGUCAGAAAUAUCUACACAACAAAAAACAAUAAAAAAAAAUAAAAAAAAUUCAAUGAACAUCUUAUGGAGGCAUUUCAUCAAAACAUUUAGAAUGCAAAAUAUACAUUGAGUUUAUUUUGUUAUUUCAAUUUCUAAACUACCACAUUGCACUUAAUCUUACUCUUAUUAACAGUCACAGUUCAAACAUGUAAGCAUUUGAUCAUUAACUGCCAAACUGACAAUUUCAUAAACCCUAAAAACUAACACAUGACAACUUUAAACAAAAAAAUCUAACAUUUAAAACAAAACGACUCUAUGCAAAAGAUCAUGAACACUUACUUGUAGUUGAGGUUAAAGUUGAACUUGAUUUGCUUGAAGUUGAAGAAAUUUGAUUAGCUUGAGUAUGGAGGGAGAAUUUUGAUUGAAGUAGUGUUUUGAAAGAAUCAGUUAACGGCUGUUGCUAUUCUGGAAUAAACCAAAACGCUGCGGCAAUUAACCGUCGUUUGGGGUGAGCAAUAGUUAACUGCCGUUGAGUUCAAUUAGGUAAUUUUGGGGUGUUAAUGCAAUUCUAAAGUUAGAAGAACAAUUUUCCUGAUACAAAGGGGCAGAUAUACAGUUGGCUUUGAAGCCCAUAGCCCGACCUUUGCUGCUCGUAGUAUGAAAUGUAUAGGAUUGGUGUUAGCAUGAAUGUAUGUAUGUAUGUAUGUAUGCAUGCAUGCAUGUAUCUAUUUGUGUGUGUGUCAUGUACGUUAGUAUUAUCAAUAGUCAUGAUAUAUAAAAGUAUGAUGGCUACUAGCUGCAUAAUUAAGCCACUAUAUAAUGGAUUUAAUUUUUUUAGUUACAAUGUAGUGAAUAUAACGAAAACACCAUGAUAAAUGUGAAGAAUUUAGGGAGACCUCGAAUAAUAGAGGGAUCUCUCUUUCUAAGGCAGUGUCCAGAGGAACUUGUUGAAAUAUUAUGAACUAUGUGUAUAUUUAUGUAUAUGUGAUAUCAUGAAGCUAUCAGGUGCAUUACUUAUUAUUAGCUUAUGAAUCUAAAGUAAGGACAGUUCGUCAUAAAGCCUAAAUGACACAGUUAUGAAUGUAUGGUUUUAUAAUAAGAAGAUUUCUUAAUAUGAGUUUUAAGCGAUGAUUUUCCGUUGAUGGUGUUUUAUGUUCUACCCCUUUUUGGGAAAUGAGAAAGUAUAUCUAAUCCCACAUUAUUAUUUUUUUCAGAUGUCAAUACACAUUGAAUGGUUGAGGGUUAUAACUACUUGUCAAUCAUUU
This 4559-nucleotide long non-coding RNA is filed under the name Medicago truncatula (barrel medic). RNAcentral describes it as "long non-coding RNA (MTRU_LNC003478)". Lineage: Eukaryota; Viridiplantae; Streptophyta; Magnoliopsida; Fabales; Fabaceae. The record is from RNAcentral.